RNA transcript from Erigeron canadensis, 1709 nucleotides. It is a transcript of the gene named heterogeneous nuclear ribonucleoprotein 1-like, with no coding region annotated. NCBI's taxonomy places the organism in Eukaryota, Viridiplantae, Streptophyta, Magnoliopsida, Asterales, Asteraceae. The transcript has 4 exons. The record is from RefSeq and is a predicted model, not a curated record.
CCAAACCCAAAUUCCCAAAAACAUACACUUUCAAAUCGGUGCAAACCCUAAUUACACACACACAAAAACAAACUUAUACGCUACUUCGCGUAUUGUGUGUGAAAAAGAAAAAGAAGCUGAAAAUGGAUUCAGAUGAAGGGAAACUUUUCUUAGGUGGAAUAGCAUGGGAAACAACUGAAGAAAGAUUAAAUGAUUAUUUCACCAAAUACGGCGUCGUUUCACAGACUGUUAUCAUGCGAGACAAGAUCACUGGUCGUCCACGUGGAUUUGGUUUUGUUGUUUUUGCAGAUCCCUCUGUUCUUGAUUCUGUUCUUCAAGAUAGACACACCAUUGAUGGCAGAAAUGUGGAAGCUAAGAGGGCUUUAUCCAGAGAAGAACAACAAGCGUCUAAGCCUGCGAAUAAUGCCGGCAGAAACUCUGGAGGAACUGGAAAUUACAGAACCAAAAAGAUAUUUGUUGGUGGAUUGCCUUCCACAUUAACAGAAGAACAAUUCCGCCAGUAUUUUGAAAGUUAUGGAGAUGUUACUGAUGUUGUAAUUAUGUUUGACCAAAAUACUAACAGGCCUCGUGGAUUUGGUUUCAUAUCCUUUGAUACAGAAGAUGCUGUUGAUAGAGUCAUUCAGAAGACAUUCCAUGAGCUCAACAAUAAGCUGGUUGAGGUAAAACGAGCACUCCCUAAAGACGCAAACCCCGGAGGUGGUGGUGGUGGCGGCGGCGGCCGUGGUGGAGGUUAUCAAGGUCACAAUGCUGGCUCGUUUGAUAGUCAGAUGGAUGGUAAUAGAUUCACGCAGCAACAAAACUCAGGUGGUGGCUACCCUGCAUAUUCGGGUUAUGGUCAACCAAGUUAUGGCUAUGGUGCACCGAAUGGUAAUACUGGUUAUGGAAGUUAUGGUGCUGCUGGUUAUGGUGCUCCCGCUGGAGGAUAUGGCAACCCAAAUGCAGGUAGUAAUCCUGGUGCAUUGAAAAGCCCAUGGGGUGGUGGUCAGACUCCCGGCUAUGGUGGUGCAGGUUAUGGUGCAAACACGGGCUAUGGCGGUGCAGGUUAUGGUGCGAACACGGGUUAUGGUGGUGCAGGCUAUGGUGCACCGGUGGGUCAAUCUCCAAGUGGGGGUUCCAGUUAUGGGAACCAAGGUUAUGGGUAUGGUAACUAUGGGACUAAUGAAGGCUACAAUACAAAUACUGCCGGAUAUGGAGCAGCAGCUGGUGGCCGACCUGGGCCAGGUGUUGCUGCAAAUAGCAUGGUUGGAAGUGGCGUAGAUCAACAAGGGCCAAGUGGUGGUGGCUAUAUGGGUGGUCCUUAUAACGGGCAGCCUGGUUACUCUAAUGCUGCCUGGAGAUCCGACACUUAAAGAAUGCGCAGUACCAGACUCCAAACGGGUUGGAUUGCCUGAAUCUUGGAAGUAACAAAGUAAUGAAGCUUUGGAGUUAUGAACCCAAUCAGUAAUAGCUGUCGAGUUCUUGGGUGGUUGAACUUUGAUGCCCUGUCCCCAAAAUGCAGGAGGUAGAUCUUAAACAUAUAUUGCACGAAUUUGAGUUUGGGCAAAUGGGUUGGAGAGUCCAGAGUUGUCUUGCUUUAACAGGAAAAGUUUUAUCAUUAUUAACUUGAUUUUUUUUUUAUUUAUAAAUUCUUUAAUAAUCCACCUCACAAAUGUAGGAUAUGAGAUUCGAACUUUGAUGAACUAUCCCAAGGUCAAAACUAUUAACACUUG